AAGGAAAAUUUCCAAAUGCAGUUUCUACGUAGCUAGCAAAACGGUUAGUCUGGUACUACUGCGCAGUCCGCUCCCGUUAGAAAAAAAUUUAUUGUUGACGGGACGCGGUGUGGUUCUGGAUUUGGAUGCAUCUUACGAGGUCACCCUAGUGUUUCUUAGAGGGUUUGCAGCAGUCUUGCUGUAGAGUAAUGGAUGUUACUCUGGCUGAAGUUCUUUCAGUUCGUGAGGCUCUUUCAUGGUUAAAGACUCGUGGAUCAUAUGAUGCUUGUGUGGAAACUGAUUCAUUGUGAUUGAUCCAGGCGCUGCACUCUUCACGCACUGAAAAAAAAAAUGUAAAACAAGAUUUGCAAUAUAAAAAUAAAACCUGAUUGGAAUUAAAAUUAAAACAAAUUAACCAUCUCUGAUUCCUUCCCGAUUCAUCUUGAUAUUGAACCGGAAUUCUGCA
Hevea brasiliensis (rubber tree) is the source of this 445-nucleotide long non-coding RNA. RefSeq lists it as uncharacterized. The record is from RefSeq and is a predicted model, not a curated record. The transcript is spliced from 2 exons. Lineage: Eukaryota; Viridiplantae; Streptophyta; Magnoliopsida; Malpighiales; Euphorbiaceae.